UACGGAAGGCAGCAGUGGGGAAUAUUGCACAAUGGGCGCAAGCCUGAUGCAGCCAUGCCGCGUGUAUGAAGAGGGCCUUCGGGUUGUAAAGUACUUUCAGUCGUGAGGAAGGUGUUAAGGUUAAUAACCUUAGCAAUUGACGUUAGCGACAGAAGAAGCACCGGCUAACUCCGUGCCAGCAGCCGCGGUAAUACGGAGGGUGCGAGCGUUAAUCGGAAUUACUGGGCGUAAAGGGCACGCAGGCGGUUAAUUAAGUUGGAUGUGAAAUCCCCGGGCUUAACCUGGGAAUGGCAUUCAAGACUGGUUAGCUAGAGUCUUGUAGAGGGGGUAGAAUUCCAUGUGUAGCGGUGAAAUGCGUAGAGAUGUGGAGGAAUACCGGUGGCGAAGGCGGCCCCUGGGACAAAGACUGACGCUCAUGUGCGAAAGCGUGGGGAGCAAACAGGGCUUAGAUACC
Molecule: ribosomal RNA, 454 nt
Filed under: uncultured bacterium
Lineage: Bacteria
Description: bacterial SSU rRNA
Rfam family: Bacterial small subunit ribosomal RNA
Source: RNAcentral